This is a long non-coding RNA of Panicum hallii, 981 nucleotides long. RefSeq lists it as uncharacterized. The record is from RefSeq and is a predicted model, not a curated record. NCBI's taxonomy places the organism in Eukaryota, Viridiplantae, Streptophyta, Magnoliopsida, Poales, Poaceae. The transcript has 3 exons.
AGCUCUCUUCCCCAUCGGCCCUUCACCUCUCUCCGCCGCCACCACCAGCCUCCCACCCGACUGCCCCCUCCUUCCCGAUUUCGGCCUCCCUCCUGCACCGUCGCCCCCUUCUCCCCCGUUGCAUCGUCGGCCCCUUCCUCCCUGAGCGCCGCCCCCUCCUCCUCGGCUCCUGCCUCCCUCCCUCUGUUUGCACGCCUCCGCUCCGCGUGGGCGCUCUGGUGGUGGUGGAGACAUCACCGGCUGGACGCCGCCGUGGCGCGAGGGCGCAGGGGCGCCGGACCUCCCUUCCACCUGCGACGGUGGCCAGGAGGAGCAGGAGGCCGGCGACGACGCCCGGGGCCUGGCAGGGCCGGCCGUGAUGUGAGGGAAGCGCUCAUGGUCGCGGCGUGCCGGGUCCUCGUCGGCCUCGGGCUACGCCGCCUCCAUCCUGAGCGCUGUCCGGCCGGUCGUCCCCCUCCCCCCUGAGCGCUGCUCUGGCUCCCGCCGGCCCUCGUCCUUUCCUCCGCCGCUGCUAUCUCCACCCCAACCUUCCCCUUCGGUGCCGAGCAAGAUCAAUACCAAGAUGCCUCCUGAUCGGAAGCAAGACCAAGGAACGCGCAAAUCCAGGGGCGUGUCAUAGAGGUUUAUGGCCCAGAUUGAAUGACAGUAACAAUAAGCACGUGUGAAGAUGCGCGCAAGAUUGAGCAACAAGAUGAGGCUGUAGGCUGCAGUGAGGCUAUUGGCUGCAGUUUUAUUUCUUGAGAUACGAAGCAGAGUAACCCAGAGGCGACACUUCAGGCAGACUAGGAUGCAGACCAACGUUCUUUGCUUGAUUGCUUGGCUGGUGUAACUUUUGAUUGUACAUAUGUAUGUAUGAAGGGAGGAUAAAUUGUAUUGCUUGACUGCUUGCCUUGUGCAACUUUGCAUGUACUAUGUAUGUGUAUGAAUAUGUGCAUGAACAGAGGAUGAACUGUGAACAUGUGACCUAUCUGUUCUCCCCAA